UACGUAGGGUCCGAGCGUUGUCCGGAAUUAUUGGGCGUAAAGGGCUCGUAGGCGGUUUGUCGCGUCGGGAGUGAAAACACGGGGCUUAACCCCGUGCCUGCUUCCGAUACGGGCAGACUAGAGGUAUGCAGGGGAGAACGGAAUUCCUGGUGUAGCGGUGAAAUGCGUAGAUAUCUGGAGGAACACCGGUGGCGAAGGCGGCAUCCUGGACCAACACUGACACUGAGGAGCGAAAGCCAGGGGAGCAAACGGG
This 253-nucleotide ribosomal RNA is filed under the name uncultured bacterium. RNAcentral describes it as "partial 16S ribosomal RNA". It matches the Rfam family "Bacterial small subunit ribosomal RNA", at positions 524 to 776 of the family's 1533-position model. The record is from RNAcentral.